Adelges cooleyi (spruce gall adelgid) is the source of this 945-nucleotide long non-coding RNA. RefSeq lists it as uncharacterized. Lineage: Eukaryota; Metazoa; Arthropoda; Insecta; Hemiptera; Adelgidae. The transcript has 4 exons. The record is from RefSeq and is a predicted model, not a curated record.
CUUAAAACGGCAAAAGAUGCGGUAAACUAUCUCUUGACAGUGGUAAAUUUGAGACCGUCCACGCAUACUGCUGUAGUUUUGCGCUAAAGUAUAAUAUUUUAGAGAAAAUCAAACGUGCUACACUACAAAAUCGAUGAAAAAGAAGGUAUCGCCACUUACAACAUCAACGUUGACUAUAGUUAUGAAGACCCAGACGUUCUUAUCGGUAUCAUAAAAGAAAUUGAGCAUAAAAUCGAAGUGUCUAAAAUAUUGCAAUCAGCCGAAGAAAACUUCAAGACUUAUAUUCCGCAAGCGCCAAUUGUACAAUCCCAGGCUGGGCCUAGUGGUGUGCUAUUUAACCAGCGACAAUUACCGCCAAGGGCAAGCAGCAACAUUGAUAUUUUUGCGACAUCGUUGCUUAUGGAAUGUGAACUGGAAAAAAUCGAAGAAAUGUCCGAUACCGAGUAACUUUGAAUUCUUCCUAAAAUUAUAUUUGAACCGAAAUACUUUUUGAACUACUACUUUUCGGGCGGUCUCAUAUACACAGCGAUGAAAAACUUUGACAGAGCAAUUACUUUUUUCGAAAUUGUUUUCAUGACAACAUUUCCUGUAAUUUCGCCAAUCACGAUUGAUUCCUAUAAGAAAUUCAUUUUACUUGUCUUCAUACACUUCGGAUCGGUACCAACAUACUGUAACGUUGAUCCCACAAUCCUCGAUGAAUUGUAUGGACCAACGUGUCAACCGUACUUAGAUUUGGUACCACUUUAUCAAAGUGGAAAUUUAACAGCAGUCCACGCGACAAUUGCUAAACACCAAGAUAUUUAUGUAAGGGAUAAAAAUGUUGGAUUGGUGAAACAACUUGUGAAAUCUUUGAACCAGGCCAACUUGUUCUCGACCAUGACCCUAGCCGAGUUGGCCGAACAACUCAACCUUAAAACGGCAAAAGAUGCGGUAAACUAUCUCUUG